RNAcentral lists this ribosomal RNA (453 nucleotides) under uncultured Porphyromonadaceae bacterium. RNAcentral's name for it is "partial 16S ribosomal RNA". It matches the Rfam family "Bacterial small subunit ribosomal RNA", at positions 341 to 792 of the family's 1533-position model. The record is from RNAcentral. Lineage: Bacteria; Pseudomonadati; Bacteroidota; Bacteroidia; Bacteroidales; Porphyromonadaceae.
ACGGAAGGCAGCAGUGAGGAAUAUUGGUCAAUGGGCGGAAGCCUGAACCAGCCAAGUCGCGUGAGGGACGACGGUCCUAUGGAUUGUAAACCUCUUUAGCCAGGGAGCAAUAAGCGCUAUGUAUAGCGUGAUGAGAGUACCUGGAGAAUAAGGAUCGGCUAACUCCGUGCCAGCAGCCGCGGUAAUACGGAGGAUCCGAGCGUUAUCCGGAUUUAUUGGGUUUAAAGGGUGCGCAGGCGGUCUUUUAAGUCAGUGGUCAAAUCGUGGUGCUCAACGCCAUCCCGCCAUUGAUACUGGAGGACUUGAUUCCGGUCGAGGCAGGCGGAAUUCGUAGUGUAGCGGUGAAAUGCAUAGAUAUUACGAAGAACUCCGAUUGCGUAGGCAGCUUACCAGGCCGGCAAUGACGCUCAUGCACGAAAGUGCGGGGAUCGAACAGGAUUAGAUACCCUGGUA